GUGGGGAAUAUUGGACAAUGGGCGAAAGCCUGAUCCAGCCAUGCCGCGUGUGUGAAGAAGGUCUUCGGAUUGUAAAGCACUUUAAGUUGGGAGGAAGGGCAGUAAGUUAAUACCUUGCUGUUUUGACGUUACCGACAGAAUAAGCACCGGCUAACUUCGUGCCAGCAGCCGCGGUAAUACGAAGGGUGCAAGCGUUAAUCGGAAUUACUGGGCGUAAAGCGCGCGUAGGUGGUUUUGUAAGUUGGAGGUGAAAUCCCCGGGCUCAACCUGGGAACUGCCUCCAAAACUACAUGACUAGAGUACGGUAGAGGGUAGUGGAAUUUCCUGUGUAGCGGUGAAAUGCGUAGAUAUAGGAAGGAACACCAGUGGCGAAGGCGACUACCUGGACUGAUACUGACACUGAGGUGCGAAAGCGUGGGGAGCAAACAGGAUUAGAAACCCGUGUAGUCC
RNAcentral lists this ribosomal RNA (450 nucleotides) under uncultured bacterium. Its description in RNAcentral is "partial 16S ribosomal RNA". It matches the Rfam family "Bacterial small subunit ribosomal RNA", at positions 354 to 796 of the family's 1533-position model. The record is from RNAcentral.